Pongo pygmaeus (Bornean orangutan) is the source of this 733-nucleotide non-coding RNA. The record is from the annotation of a RefSeq genome assembly. Lineage: Eukaryota; Metazoa; Chordata; Mammalia; Primates; Hominidae.
CUCAGUUCAUCUUCUCACAAUGAGGCUCCCUGCUCAGCUCCUGGGACUGCUAAUGCUCUGGCUCCCUGGGACCAGUGGGGAUAUUGUGAUGACCCAGACUCCACUCUCCCUGCCCGUCACCCCUGGAGAGCCGGCCUCCGUCUCCUGCAGGUCUAGUCAGAGCCUCCUGCAUAGUGAUGGAAACACCUAUUUGGAUUGGUACCUGCAGAAGCCAGGGCAGCCUCCACAGCUCCUGAUCUAUAUGCUUUCCUAUCGGGACUCUGGAGUCUCAGACAGGUUCAGUGGCAGUGGGUCAGGCACUGAUUUCACACUGAAAAUCAGCAGGGUGGAGGCUGAGGAUGUUGGGGUUUAUUACUGCAUGCAAGCUCUACAAGCUCCUCCCACAGUGCUACAUCCUCGAACAGAAACCUCCCUGCUGGACACAGAUUCUCCCCAGAUGGCUGAGGGCUGUCAUUGGCUGUGUCCUUCCUUGUGCAUGACAACAGGAGACAGCAGAUGCCAGUGGCAACAUUGUGUGGACCCCGUCUCCAGCCCCUAUCCCUCUGGCCCAGAUGAGAAGGUCACUGUCACCAGCAGGCGUGACCAGGGUAUGAACAGCAUCCUAGCCCAGCUCCAGCAGAACCGAGGCCUGGCUCUGAGCUCCUGCUGCCCCCUGGAGACCAUGCCUGCCCUGAUCAAGGGCCAUGGGCUUGGACAGAUGUCACUUUGGCUAUCAGCAUCCAAACUGCCUUGA